Molecule: long non-coding RNA, 3207 nt
Filed under: Zostera marina
Lineage: Eukaryota; Viridiplantae; Streptophyta; Magnoliopsida; Alismatales; Zosteraceae
Description: long non-coding RNA (ZMAR_LNC004347)
Source: RNAcentral
UUAGUAAGCAUCCAAAAAUAACUUUAAAAUAAAUAUAUAUAAAGGUCUCUUACGUACAAUAUUCUCAUCCAACACAUCGAUCGCGAUUCAUUGGCAGUAAAAUACAAACAAGUUAAACUCUCGCGUCAAUCUAAAAGUAUGAGGUUGAUAUCGGUAAAAGUGGUUUUCCUUUUCUUGCUUUUCUUAUCGUCCCUUUUUCUUGUAAACUAUUGUAAAGAAAUCUAUGAAGAUGACAAAUCAAUAAUGGAAUCAAUACCUAACUGGGUAAAAUCCGUGGAGAAAUAUAUCAUCGCAGGUUUGAACAUAUUCCAAGAUUACGCAGCAAAAGAAACUAGACAAAAGGUCAAAGACGUUUACGAAGAAUGCAAGACAGAUUACAAAAAUAUUUUGAGCAAUAUCAAGAAAGUAAAAAGAGAUAUUGUCAAGAAAAAAUUCAAAGAUGCUGAAAUUCAAGUGAAGCAAGCAAUUUCUAGUGCAGAAGAUUGCUCUAAUGGUUUGAAAAAAGUCUCGGAUGAAUCACCAGAGAAGGUUAAACGUAUAAGUGCUCUAGUAGUCGAAAUUCUCGAAUAUUUACUUAAAAAGAUUAUGAAAUUAGAAUAAAUGCAGGAUCACAUUUCCAUCUACAUAUGUGAUAAAAAGAUACAAUCAUGUUUUAGCUUAAAUAAAUUUUUAUUACUUUAUUUACUUUUAUUUUUUUUGUAAUUUCAAUUUUUUUAAUGGAAUAUAAUAUAAAUUGCUUUUCAAUUAUAAAGUAUAAUAAAAACAGAAAUCAGGAUUGAAGAAGAUCUGCUUAUUCAUAUUAUACCUUAUUUUCUAUAUUUCUUAAAUUCUUUAAUUCCUGAAGUGCCAAAAAUAUAUUAGAACAUAUAUAGAUUACAAUACCUACACAAUUAAACAAACACAUUUUAAAAUGCGACACGUAAUUUAAAUGAAAUCCGAACAUUUUGACGUGACGGUACAAAAUGGAUAGAAAGAACUGGUUGUAAAAUACGCUAUUUAUUUUUCGAUAUCUGGGUGCCCAAAUCGUUGACACAAAUAUCUGAAAUAUUAGACAACUUUGUCUUAUAUAUUCUUCGACCAUCCAAUUAGUGUUAGUGCUGAUUCUUUUCUAAUUAUUAUUAAUCGUAACAAUGUCGUGACUGAUCUAAUAAUGUCGUUAGUCUGAUUGUUUUUUAGUUAAUUAACUAUUUAUUAUAUCGGUCUUAGUUAUUUCGAGUUCGUUUGGGAGUGAGGAACCAAGAGGCAGUCGCAGGUAAAAUAUUUGACGAACGGAGAUCGAAAACUGCAUUGAAGAGAGGUACACCCGCACCAAAUAAUUAUUGAAAUUAUAAACAAAACAAAAAAAAUGAAGGAAAGAAGAGAAGGAGUCUGACAUAGAAGAUAUAAAAAAAUAAAAUAGACUUUAACAUUUGUUACAGACGGAGUGAGACUUUGACAUAUCUCAUGAUGAUUGAGGCUGGAAUCGAUGGGUGAAGUUAGGGAUUUGAGAAUUUGGGAAUGGAAAUUUGGAAAUAACAUUUUGGAGUUUAAGAUUUUAUAGGAUUUAAAAAUUUAGGAUCUUAGACGUUAUGGGGUUAUUUAUAAAAAUAAAUUAUUGGGUAUAUUAUUAAUGGACGUGUUUCAGGUGCGUCUUACUUUGAAUGCGUUGUCGUACCUCAUCAAAUCCUAUUCGUUAAUAUUUAAUCCAAUGAUUAAAAUAAUAAAUUACACAAAACAUUAUCACAUGUACGACGUAAAAUAAUAUACUGCAAAAUAUAUUAACACAUGUACGACGAAAGGACGAUUUAAUAGACAAGAUUAAUUUGACGCAUUUUGACCACACACAUUAUUAAUAUCCCUCCUAUAGAAAAUUUUUAACAUAUUAAACUGACCCUAGACAACCUGAUAUAGUUAUAUUAUACAUAUAUCCAAAUUUUUAUUUUUAUUUAAUUUUUAACCCUAUGGGUGCCAUGGACAUGGGUCGGGCAUGUGUAGGUCCAUCCUUGAUCUUAAGUUAUAAUGAAAAACAAGCUUACUGUGUUCUUUAGGUAACCAAUUACAUAGUCGUGGAUAUCUUCAGAACUGUUUUGUUAAUACAUUGGCUUACUGAUCGGACGCUCGGAGGUCGACGACGGCAGAGGACCGUCGUGGACCAAGAUUGUCAGGUGAGGCUCGUCGGACUAAAGUAAGGUUUCUAAACCUAAUCUAAAUUUUAAUAUUAUUGUGGGAUCUUCGGUUAGGGCAAGAGGUAGUCGUGGAGAGAAAAUUAGGGCAUCAUGGGGGAGAUGGAAGGGGUUCGGCGGACGAACACAGUGAUUCCUUAAUUUAUCCAUUAAUUGUUAUCUUCCAUUUCAUAAUUAAUUAUACCCUUUUUUUCCUUUUGUUACUAAGUCCUUGAUCUAAAUAAAAAAAAAUAGAAAAACAUAAUUUUUAUUUUAUCAUGGAUUAAAAAAUAAUCCUUUAGGUCAUCGAAGAUCAACCAAUGCAUCCCGUAAAAAGCGAAUUAAACAUAUAUUUAUAGGAAUAUCUCUUUUUUUGAAUCAAUUAAAUUUCAUUAAAAUAAGGCUAAUACCAAGUUUACAAAAAAUAGAGCAGCCUCACACUUAUUAGUAAGCAUCCAAAAAUAACUUUAAAAUAAAUAUAAAGGUCUCUUACAAUAUUCUCAUCCAAUACAUCGAUCACAAUUCAUUAGCUGUAAAAUACAAACAAGUUAAACUCUCGUGUCAAACUAAAAGCAUGAGGUUGAUAUCGAUAAAAGUGGUUUUCUUUUUCUUGCUUUUCUUAUCAUCCUUUUUUCUUGUAAACUAUUGUAAAGAAAUCUCUGAAGAUGACAAAUCAAUAAUGGAAUCAAUACCUAACUGGGUAAAAUCCGUGGAGAAAUAUGUCAUCGCAGGUUUGAAUAUAUUCCAAGAUUACGCAGCAAAAGAAACUAGACAAAAGGUCAGAGACGCUUACGAAGAAUGCAAGAAAGAUUACAAAAAUAUUUUGAGCAAUAUCAAGAAAGUAAAAAGAGAUAUUGUCAAGAAAAAAUUCAAAGAUGCUGAAAUUCAAGUGAAGCAAGUGUUAGAAAAUGAUGAUCCAACGUGUUUGUUGUUGGUGGGAGGAUUGGAGGUUGUUGCAGAGGAAUCGCCAUCGCAGAUUUUAUGGGAAGAAAAGAAAACUAUUUUGAUUGAUUGCAUUUAGUUGCACAAUUGAUUCCAAUUUAUAUACAAUGGUGGAUGAUUCUAG